CUGACGCUGAGGCUCGAAAGCGUGGGGAGCAAACAGGAUUAGAUACCUGGUAGUCCACGCCGUAAACGAUGAGUGCUAAGUGUUAGGGGGUUUCCCCCCUUAGUGCUGCAGCUAACGCAUUAAGCACUCCGCCUGGGGAGUACGACCGCAAGGUUGAAACUCAAAGGAAUUGACGGGGGCCCGCACAAGCGGUGGAGCAUGUGGUUUAAUUCGAAGCAACGCGAAGAACCUUACCAGGUCUUGACAUCCUUUGACCACUUUAGAGAUAAAGCUUUCCCUUCGGGGACAAAGUGACAGGUGGUGCAUGGUUGUCGUCAGCUCGUGUCGUGAGAUGUUGGGUUAAGUCCCGCAACGAGCGCAACCCUUAUUGUUAGUUGCCAUCAUUCAGUUGGGCACUCUAGCGAAACUGCCGGUGACAAACCGGAGGAAGGUGGGGAUGACGUCAAAUCAUCAUGCCCCUUAUGACCUGGGCUACACACGUGCUACAAUGGACAGUACAAUGAGCAGCGACACGGCGACGUGAAGCGAAUCUCAUAAAGCUGUUCUCAGUUCGGAUUGUAGGCUGCAACUCGCCUACAUGAAGCCGGAAUCGCUAGUAAUCGCGGAUCAGCACGCCGCGGUGAAUACGUUCCCGGGCCUUGUACACACCGCCCGUCACACCACGAAAGUUUGUAACACCCAAAGUCGGUGAGGUAACCUUCGGGAGCCAGCCGCCUAAGGUGGGAUAGAUGAUUGGGGUGAAGUCGUAACAAGGUAACCA
Molecule: ribosomal RNA, 760 nt
Filed under: uncultured Vagococcus sp.
Lineage: Bacteria; Bacillati; Bacillota; Bacilli; Lactobacillales; Enterococcaceae
Description: bacterial SSU rRNA
Rfam family: Bacterial small subunit ribosomal RNA
Source: RNAcentral